RNAcentral lists this ribosomal RNA (490 nucleotides) under uncultured bacterium. RNAcentral's name for it is "partial 16S ribosomal RNA". It matches the Rfam family "Bacterial small subunit ribosomal RNA", at positions 28 to 507 of the family's 1533-position model. The record is from RNAcentral.
GAUGAACGCUAGCUACAGGCUUAACACAUGCAAGUCGCGGGGCAGCAUGGGGGUUGCUUGCAAUCCCCGAUGGCGACCGGCGCACGGGUGAGUAACGCGUAUCCAACCUGCCCUUCACCACGGGAUAACCCGGCGAAAGUCGGACUAAUACCGUAUGUUGUCCAUUGACGGCAUCCGAUUUGGACGAAAGGCUUGGCGGUGAGGGAUGGGGAUGCGUCCGAUUAGCCAGACGGCGGGGUAACGGCCCACCGUGGCUACGAUCGGUAGGGGUUCUGAGAGGAAGGGCCCCAAAACUGGAACUGAGACACGGUCCAGACUCCUACGGGAGGCAGCAGUGAGGAAUAUGGGUCAAUGGGCGUAAGCCUGAACCAGCCAAGUAGCGUGCAGGAGGACGGCCCUAUGGGUUGUAAACUGCUUUUAUGCGGGGAUAAAGUGGUCCACGUGUGGGCUUUUGCAGGUACCGCAUGAAUAAGGACCGGCUAAUUCCGUG